UACCCGUGCUGCGAGUGGUGGUCAUUUUUAUUGGGCCUGAAGCGUUCGUAGCCGGCCGAAUAACUCCUUUGUGAAAUCCUUUGUUGAACAAAGGGCUUGCAGGGGAAACUGUUCGGCUUGGGACUGGGAGAGGCUGGAGGUACUCCUGGGGUAGGGGUAAAAUCCUUUAAUCCUAGGGGGACCACCUGUGGCGAAGGCGUCCAGCUUGAACGGGUCCGACGGUGAGGGACGAAAGCCUGGGGAGC
This 245-nucleotide ribosomal RNA is filed under the name uncultured euryarchaeote. Its description in RNAcentral is "partial 16S ribosomal RNA". It matches the Rfam family "Archaeal small subunit ribosomal RNA", at positions 474 to 720 of the family's 1478-position model. Lineage: Archaea; Methanobacteriati; Methanobacteriota. The record is from RNAcentral.